Molecule: ribosomal RNA, 449 nt
Filed under: uncultured bacterium
Lineage: Bacteria
Description: bacterial SSU rRNA
Rfam family: Bacterial small subunit ribosomal RNA
Source: RNAcentral
GCCAGACUCCUACGGGAGGCAGCAGUGGGGGAUAUUGCACAAUGGGGGGAACCCUGAUGCAGCGACGCCGCGUGGGUGAAGGAGCGUUUCGGCGCGUAAAGCCCUAUCGGCAGGGAAGAAGGAGGACGGUACCUGACUAAGAAGCCCCGGCUAACUACGUGCCAGCAGCCGCGGUAAUACGUAGGGGGCAAGCGUUAUCCGGAUUUACUGGGUGUAAAGGGGGCGCAGACGGCAGCGCAAGCCAGGAGUGAAAGCCCGGGGCCCAACCCCGGGACUGCUCUUGGAACUGCGCGGCUGGAGUGCAGGAGGGGCAGGCGGAAUUCCUGGUGUAGCGGUGAAAUGCGUAGAUAUCAGGAGGAACACCGGUGGCGAAGGCGGCCUGCUGGACUGCGACUGACGUUGAGGCCCGAAAGCGUGGGGAGCAAACAGGAUUAGAUACCCGCGUAGUC